Non-coding RNA from Pelobates cultripes (western spadefoot toad), 83 nucleotides. The record is from the annotation of a GenBank genome assembly. Lineage: Eukaryota; Metazoa; Chordata; Amphibia; Anura; Pelobatidae.
ACCAUGAUGGCCAAGUGGUUAAGGCGUUGGACUUAACUUCCAAUGGACAAACAACCGCACGGGUUCAAACCCCACUGCUGGUA